UUAAGUUUUGAUACUUAUAUUAGAAGCCACAAAAGGCCAGCAUCCAGUCAAUGAACACAACUACAAAAUGGCAGUUAAUUUGUUUACACAAUAUACAUCACUUGUUUACACAUAAUAUACACACCUUGUUAACAUGAUUUGACACACACAACAAGUUUUUAACCUGCGUAUAUGAUAAUGACUGCAGUUGGAAGGAAAUGAAGUAUUUUUAUGUAGUAAAUUUUAAGUAAAUAAUCUUUCAUGAUAAAAUACAGGGGCUCUUUUCACAAAAACUUUACAACAAAAAUUGAUGAUAAGUUAUACAUUGUACUGAAUUGUUCAUUACUUACAAGUAUUGUUUCUCUUAAUAUUUUUUAUGAAAUAAGUAGCAGGCCUUUUCAGCAACUGCAGAGUCAGUGAAUUGUAACAUUUUCUAGUAAUACAAUGGUCAGUAUCAGUACUAGUAUUCACAUUUACAAUAUUCUCAUCCCCCCUUCCCCCCAGUUUAUAAAACGUUAUAGGCAUGUCCAUUUAUAUCAAGAGAGUGCCUAUAUAAAUAAAUUUAAAUAAAAAUACCCAUUUUCAGCAGUUAAAGAUGAAAUCAAAUUAUAAAUACAGUCUUAGUUAUUUGAAAUUUGUUUUAAAUAUUGAAAUUAAUAAUCUUGUAGCACAUAUGAGUAAAAUCUUCUUAACAAUUAAUUAAUGCCA
Molecule: long non-coding RNA, 687 nt
Filed under: Mytilus galloprovincialis (Mediterranean mussel)
Lineage: Eukaryota; Metazoa; Mollusca; Bivalvia; Mytilida; Mytilidae
Source: RNAcentral